GUUACGAUUUUCACCUCGGUACGCGUCAGAUGGGAAGGUUCGCACCAUGUACGGACGGAAGAAGGCUGCAAACCGUACGGUGUCGUGAACCCAACCUUUGCGGAGGUCAUUUUUAUAUGUCGCCGAUUAUUCGCGAAUAUUCCUUUGGGUUGUUGUUCGCGACGUGUCAUAAAAUGACUUACACUAAUUCACAUGUCCAAAUUCCAAGGAAAUUUUAAUAUAAUUUGGAUUGUUAAUGGGAGUCAUUAAAAUCUGCCUGCGGUAAUCCACUAACAUCACAAUUGGAAAUAGAAUAUGACGCUAAUUCAUCUAAUUGUUAUUGUUUCGACGUCUCGUCAAAGUGACCGGUAAGAUGGACUGUGCGUCGUGGUUUUUAAUUAGCGAGCCUUGUCGUUACCUAGGAAUUGUUUGUUUAAUGGUGGAAUAACUACAUGCGAACACGAGCACUGUUAUCGAGUCGGUGAAUUGAUAUUGACGCUGUGAUUGACAACUGGAAGUUUCCCGGUGGAAUUCGCCAACGUUGGGAAAUGAUCGAGUUACUUUACCAUUUACUUUAUUAUGUGUUUUAUUUAAUAAAGUCUUAUUUUUUA
This is a long non-coding RNA of Aethina tumida (small hive beetle), 590 nucleotides long. RefSeq lists it as uncharacterized. NCBI's taxonomy places the organism in Eukaryota, Metazoa, Arthropoda, Insecta, Coleoptera, Nitidulidae. The transcript has 3 exons. The record is from RefSeq and is a predicted model, not a curated record.